CAAUAGCGUAUAUUAAGGUUGUUGCGGUUAAAAAGCUCGUAGUUGGAUUUCUGCCGAGGACGACCGGUCCGCCCUCUGGGUGUGUAUCUGGUUUGGCCUGGGCAUCUUCUUGGAGAACGUAGCUGCACUUGACUGUGUGGUGCGGUGUCCAGGACUUUUACUUUGAGGAAAUUAGAGUGUUUCAAGCAGGCACACGCCUUGAAUACAUUAGCAUGGAAUAAUAAGAUAGGACCUCGGUUCUAUUUUGUUGGUUUCUAGAGCUGAGGUAAUGAUUAAUAGGGAUAGUUGGGGGCAUUCGUAUUUAACUGUCAGAGGUGAAACUCUUGGAUUUGUUAAAGACGGACUACUGCGAAAGCAUUUGCCAAGGAUGUUUUCAUUGA
RNAcentral lists this ribosomal RNA (380 nucleotides) under uncultured eukaryote. Its description in RNAcentral is "partial 18S ribosomal RNA". It matches the Rfam family "Eukaryotic small subunit ribosomal RNA", at positions 592 to 976 of the family's 1831-position model. The record is from RNAcentral.